Molecule: non-coding RNA, 971 nt
Organism: Anas platyrhynchos (mallard)
Lineage: Eukaryota; Metazoa; Chordata; Aves; Anseriformes; Anatidae
Source: RefSeq, a predicted model, not a curated record
GCCCCCAGAAUGGCCCCGGGGCCUCCCCUUGCCCUCCCUGGGGCGGAGGCUGACGGGCGGCUUCUGAUCCUAGGGAUCGCGGCAGAACAUCACCGGGACCAGAGUGAAGAGAAAGUGUACGAAAUAAUUGCAAUCCUGGAGCCCAUGAAGAAUGACGCAGAGCCCUCGGUGCGUGAAGAGACCGCCCGCACCAUCCGGACUGUGAGGCAGCAUCUCCACUGGCUGCAACGCCCGCGGGAUCCGUGGUACAUGCUGGCGGUGCACUGCUGCUUGCCUCGAAGAUUGUGACAGGCGCCGAAGCAGAAGCCAGAGCCAGAGCCCGAGCCCCAGAAGAAUCCGGAAGAAACUUCAGAAUCUGAAGACUCCUCCCUGGAUUCAUCUCCGUGCCAGAGCACGGACAGCUAGCGGGCCUCCAGCCCACAGGGGUUUUGGAUGCCUCCAGGAAAGGAGCCUCCAGAACCCCCCCCCACCACCACAAAGAAAUUAAAGAAAUUCCAUCUGUUUAUCCAGAGCCUCCUGGGGUCACUCCUCAGCGUCCUCCACAGCCCCCGGCAUCCUCCCAGCUCCGCACCCGCCUCCCUCGAGCAGCUCCCGUCCUCCCGGAGCUCAGGGCCCAGACCGGGACGCCAUAUCCCCCUCACAGCCCCACAGGGGCAGAGUAGAGGAGGACAAGGACCUCUCCCCACCUCCUGAGCACCCCCAGGAGGAGGAAGGCCCCGCCGCUCUCCUUCCUCACCUUGCUGCCUGCUGGGACGCUGUGAGCUCGGGAGGAGCCAUCCCCGAAUCCCUCCCGACUCCCCCGACCCCCUUGUCCUUCGAGCGCCUCGUCCCACAGCCUUGCGUUCACGGCCCCCAUCCUUCAACUCCGUCCCAGGACGUGGUCAGGGAGUCUCAGGGAGCCAGGAGGUCUCCCCGGAGCCUUCUCCAGACCAAACAAAGCCCGGUUCCCUCGGCCGCUCCUCACAGGACAU